RNAcentral lists this small RNA (1561 nucleotides) under Arabidopsis thaliana (thale cress). RNAcentral describes it as "ATSL094820". Lineage: Eukaryota; Viridiplantae; Streptophyta; Magnoliopsida; Brassicales; Brassicaceae. The record is from RNAcentral.
CUCGACCUCAGGGUCGAGUGCCCUCAUCUCCAUCACCAGACCAUCACUCGAUCACUUCACUCGACCAUGAGGUCGAGUGUCUUCACCUCCAUCAUCAGACCACCACUCGACCUCGUCACUCAACCUGGAAGUCGAGUAUCUUCUUACACCACUCGACUGCAUACUCGAUGACAAGCUUCAGAGCCUUCUUCAUUCUGCACUCAACCAGACACUCGAGCACAAGGAAGAAAAGAGGACUCCAGCUAUUCACUCGACCACAUGGGUCGAGUACAGUUCUUAACCCGUCCCAAUACUUCGUCGUUUUGAGUAUUAGGGUUUCGGGAUAUUUGGCUAUAAGUAGCAUGUACUUCUCAUUUUCGCAGACAAGAAGUUUUUAUCUAGUUUUAUUUCCGCAGACCUUGUGUUCUAGACCUUUUGUAAUCCGGAUUUCUCUUUAUCUAUUCAGUAUUCAGCUUUUGUUCUAGAUUUCGUUUACUGUUGUUCAUUCUGUUAUCAUCCUGCUGUUACACUGUUGUUAUCAUGUUUUCAACUUGUUCAACGUUUAUGCUUUCUGUUAUGAUGUCUGAGUAGUGAAUAGGUUUCUGAGGAUGGGUUAGAGUAGUGUAGAAUUCUCAGUAUGCUAGGUGAUUGAGUAUUGGUUGAUAGAUCCCUUCUGGAUUAGUUGUUCUUAAUGCCUAUUGCUUUCUGAUCAACUGGAAUUUGAGCCCAGACAUUUCCGCGCCCAAAAGGUGUUCGAUGAAAUGUCUGAACCACUAAUUCCAGAGAUUCGUGACCCUGUACCAAGGUAUUGGUUGUAGGGAGCGUUUUGGCUUUAACUUGUUGAUUCGUAAUGCCUGUUAGGUUAGCUCUCGUCAAUGGUGAUUGAGUCUGGGACUAGGUUAGCUUGAGAGUCUCUGUUGCGGUGGCACUUAGAUUUGGUUGAUGAACUUGUUGUCUAGGGUUAAUUUAUUGAGCAUGUCAAUCACCUGUAAACUGAGGAAACGAAACUACUCAAUUACCCCAUCCUUAGGAAUUCUUUAUCUGAUUGAUUUUAUUGUUUACUCUACUGCUGUGUACUGCUAUCCUGUCAUCUGUUGCUUAGUUUCUGCAAUUCUUUACUGUUACUCGACCUCAUACUCGACCACCCAGUUGUCUGGCAACAGACUGUGCAGUCGAGUAUCCCUAUUACAUUAUCUGUCUGUUACUCGACCUGUCACUCGACCACACCUAGUGCUCUGCAAAGAGCUGUGUUGGUCGAGUGUUUAUUUAUUUCUGCUUGAUUUUCUGUUUUCUGCAUGUUCACUUAGGACUGUUAGAACGCACCAAAACCUGUUAUUGCUUGGCUUGACUUAGUGACUUCUGAUCACAUCUUGAUUGUUAGUAUCACACCCAUUUGGAUUGACAAUCUAAAAUACUACAACGAUAUGAUUGGUGUUUUAGGAUAAUUGACUAAAAACCUUUUAUCAAUAACAAUCCUAAUAUUAGCUAGAUCUACAAUUCAUCUAUCUCCAGAGACAAUUCCUUAGACCCGACGCUUUAAUCACUUGAAUCUACACAUCGUUUACUUGCUUAUUUGUCUUUU